Rhinolophus ferrumequinum (greater horseshoe bat) is the source of this 399-nucleotide long non-coding RNA. RefSeq lists it as uncharacterized. The transcript has 4 exons. The record is from RefSeq and is a predicted model, not a curated record. Lineage: Eukaryota; Metazoa; Chordata; Mammalia; Chiroptera; Rhinolophidae.
CACACACACACACACACACACGCACACACACUCCAGGGCUCUGAGCUGGGGAGAGAGUUGUAUUGGCAGAGACAGAAAGCAGAGUUAGAAGCAGGUGCUUACGCCUGCCUCGCGGUUACCUUCUCAUUUUGGGGACCUGAGGCGAGAAAAUCAAGGUCCAAGAAGAUAAAUGCCUAAAGGUUGUACGUCUAGUAAUUGGUGGAGCCAGGAUUUGAACCCAGAUGCGUAGUAUCCCGUUCUAUGGCUGUGCCAUAAUUUGUUCAGCAUGUCCCUAUUGAUGAACAUUUAGGCUGUUUCCAAUCUUCUGUAUUACAAAAAUUGCUACAGCAGUCUUAGCUGUGGAAGGCGCAGUUCAGCUCCAGGUCCAGUUGCCAUUGUUAGUUGCAGGGGGCGCAGCCC